Pseudopipra pipra is the source of this 11943-nucleotide long non-coding RNA. RefSeq lists it as uncharacterized. NCBI's taxonomy places the organism in Eukaryota, Metazoa, Chordata, Aves, Passeriformes, Pipridae. The transcript has 6 exons. The record is from RefSeq and is a predicted model, not a curated record.
CUCCUGAUCAUAAGACAUUUGAACUAAUUUUUACUUUGUGUGAAUUAUAUCCAUGAAAGUAAUAAUAAUAGCUAGAAAUACUUUUUUAUUCUUUUUCCUAUCCACACUUCUGCCCUUCCCUGCAGGUGCCAGGGAAGAUUCUAUUGCAUCCAGGGCAUAUAACAUUGUAUAUUUUCUGAAAAUUUAGAACUUUCAGAGAACUGAAAUGAAUUUUACAUUAACGUAUGUCAGAUCAUGACAAAAGAACAUGUCCAUAUAUUUUCUUGGACCAAGUCAUUGUAAAAGGAUCUGCUCUUAAGAUCUGGAUGCAGACUUCAUUUAAAUGUAAUGGCACAAUAAAUAGAAUUCCUAAGUUACAGUGUACACAUCCUCUCAGGUGGAUAUUGGUUUGAGGAAAAAAGACUUUCCCUAGGCACAGGGAAAUUGGUAGGACACUACCACAUGAAGUACAAAAAUGUCCUUCAUUCUUUCUGAGACUCCAAGCACAGUCUUUUUCAUAUCUUGUUCCUUUCAUUGCUGACUGUGUGAAAGUGGCCUCCAUGAAAUUUGAAGCAAUUAAGUGAAUGACUUAGCAAGAGAAUGAGUGAAAAACACUGUAGUCAACAUAUCUACCAAUGUGCCUCAGAGACAGUAUGACAAUAUGAAAACUGAGAAAAUAGAAUUAAUGUUCUGAUAUCAGUAAUUACAGUUAUCCUGUUCUUAUAAGUAAAAACAAUACUGUCCCCUAAAGUCUGCUCUUGAAGUUGACAGUUCACUGAGUGAUCUGUUCAAGGUUAUACAAAAUGGUUUGGAUCUCUAAGAUUAGCAUCCAAUCUGUCCUAUAAUAGCUCUUUCAACAGAGUAAAUAAUGGAAGGUUUAUCCCAUGUUUUUUCUUCUCUAAACCUCUUCUGGGCUGUCCCAGCAGCCUAGAAGUUGUAACAUGCAGUAUCAUUGCAUGUCCCAGAGUACUUAACCCAGUUUAUAUACUAAAUACAUAACCUUGCCAUUUGUCAGCUGUAUAAUUUGCUUUGAAAAAAUAUGCUGUCAAGAUUAUUUGUUUUUAUUCAAAUUCCUUCUAGAGUCAUGUUAGGCAGCCUCAUUGCUUUUUAUGCAGGACUGGGAAAAAGCCUCAUUUUUGACUUAGCAGCAUGUUUUAAUCACAGCAGCAGAGAUUCUGGCCCUCUGGGCUUACUUAGAUAUUGUAAAAGAGUGCAGUUUCAAAUCAUGUCAGCUAAUUUCUGUAAAAUAGAAAUUUAAAAUACUACUUCAAAACCCACAUACACAAAGAUGAAGGUAGUCAAAUAGUUUAGUCUAGAGGAAUUAUCUUCUUUGCUUAUACCUCACUAUUUUGCAACACAUAGAAGCUUGCAAUUUAAAUAAUUUUGCAUUGCACCAGCUGGAAAAAACAAUUACUGUUUAAAUACUAGUAAGUGUCCAGGCUGAUUUGGACCUGUCCUACACAGUGUAGAAAAUGCAUUAAUAGGUAUGUUUUUGCUUAAAACUAUUUAUAAAUAUGCAUAUAUGUUUUCAAUAGAGUUUGAAUUUACAUAUUGCCACAUCUCAUGUUUACAUAUGGAGAAAAAUUAUUAAUUUAUAUAGGCAAUGAUUAUACCAAUAGUUUUCUUUAUUUCAAAGGUAAUUCGAGCACUAACACUUUAAUUGAUGUACAUUCUAGUUCUUAGAGUGCUCAGUUUGCAGUAGGCUAAAUACCUGAACUGGAAGACUCCUUUAUUCUUUAUUUAUUUCUCCUCUGCGUGUGCCGGGUGCCUUUUAAUCUGUCCAAACGCUACGGAAAAUUACCGGAACAAAAGCAAACCCUCAAAUGAAAUUGCUAAUGCUGUUUUGUGAGGCUCCCUUUCUAGUUUUUGAUUCACGAGAUGAUGGUGCAGUAACUGGGGAGCUCAAAGUAGCCGUGGAGGCCCCUCCACACGCCGCGUUCAGUCUGUGAGGAGCGCGAAGACGACUCCGAGGCAUGAAAGGAAGUUUGCCUGCAGAAGUUCCUUCUCCCAGUGUAAAUACAUGCUUGAUAGCGCAUCAAAGAUGAGAUCUUUGUAAUUCUUACAGUAUAUUUAAUGUAUAAUUCAUAUGGAAGGGACGCUUGAUUUGUAGUUGUAAAGUUUUGUAUACUUUUCAGUCUGUUUGUUUUUAUAUUUCCCCCCUAAGGCUAAGAAUCUCUCCACAAUGGACAACGUCUUGUAAAUAAUUAAUACCUACAUGAUUGAAUGAUGUGCUUUAUUUGCAUUUUCAAGAUUUUUUCCUACAUAAAACAGUAAUAAAAAUGCAAGUCAAAAUUUUAAUUUUUAAUAAAAAAACCAUAAGCCUUAGAAAACUGAUUAAAAAUACUUUUAUGUUAUCCCUAAUCACCCCGCUAAAUGGAAUGCCUGUGAUUAGCCUCAUUAAGAAUUUUAUACUGUGAAGAUUUUAUUAAAAGCAAUAUAUGAAAAUUACUUGGAUUAAUGUGUUAAUCUGCCUCUUUAAAAUGCUAAUAUCCAUUUUAUGCACAUUAAAUCUCAGUAUGUGUUUUCUUUGAUGCAUGCAGUUCCUAUCAAUUAAAUAUAAAAAAUUAGGCUAGUUGCAGGACUUAUUAAAUUACUGCAACCUUUUUUAAAUAACUUUUACCCUUCUACUAACAUUAUAAUCAGCUGUUUAUGGUUACCAUAAUUUGAAGUAGGGGGAGGGCAGGCACAAUCAUUUUCUGUACAGUAGAAGAUUUACUUUCAGCCAACAUCUGUCAAAGCACAAAAAGAAGGCAAAGUGUGAGAUUUUGCUUCACCUACUUUGGACUGUAGGGAUGGGCAACUGUGUUUUCAUUUGGGUUUUGUCACUUUUAGAACUUACAUCAAACAUAUACAAUAAAUCGUUGUAUCUGAAUAACCAGUGUCUAGCAUGGAAAGUUAAUUUUACAGCUUUUAACCAAUCUCAGUGAAGGAUUUAAUUGAUAUUUUUAAUGGAGCUGUGAAUCAAUGCUGCAAAAAGGAUUGUCUCUUGAGAACGAGGAUAUAAUACAUUUCAUUUUUUAAUUUACUUUUUUAUUUGUCAUUUUCUUCAAAGGAUUUUAUAGACUGUGGAUUUCCACUGUUUGCAAACAGGCUAUGUUUCUUCAUAAGCAUAUGUAAAGUAUUCAGAGAGAUAAGUAAUUUAUUAAAAUCUACCUAAUUUGCCGUGAUAUAUUAAAUCUCUGCUUCAGUGAUCACAGACCAUUUCAUUUAGAGAAUUAGGCAUUCCCUCUUUGUGUGAUUAAAGCUCUGGAAAAUGAGUUCUUUGCUCCUAUUUGUGAACAUUCAAAGCCUGCUAAUGGCAAGAAGAUGGAAUAGAUUAUGAGACAAUUCAUUACAGUUCAACAGAAAAAAAACCCUGCUAUAAUGCAGAAAUGCAAGUAUGAAUAUCUGCAUAUAGUUUGAACCAUCUGUGCUCUAAUGGCUUCAGUAAUGGCUCUUCGUCUUCAGUAGGCUUUGAAAUGACAUCCAUACAAUAUUAAUUUGUUGAUGUACAUUAUGAGGCCAAUGGAAUGAAUAUAUUCUGACCACAGAAAUCUCUGAAUUCCAACAUGAUCCGCUGGUUGACUCCAUUUUAGGACCUACCAUCUUCAGUAGUACUUCUCAUCCAGGCUUUGCCAAUCCUCACAGCAUUUCAUUCCUCUGGAACUUUUAGGAGACCACAGACAGCUGCAUUCCUAAACCCCUCCAUUCUUCAGUUAAUGGCCAUAUGUUUGUUGUCAUUUGGGCUGGCGCUUAGUUCAUCAUUUUGGCCACUAUUUCUAGCUUUUUUUGGCUCUGUGCAUCUAUAUUGUCAAUAAGACUGUUAUUAUACAUUACAAUAAUUUGAAACAGCCAGAUUCAACACUGAGAUUAACUGAGUGGCUUUUGAGAAAUUUGGUUGUGGUAUUCUAUCAGGAGGUUCUUAUUAUUCUUCUAAUACUUUGCAAACCAAACUAAAUAUCCUGCACAUAAACAAAGAAGCAAAUUGUAUUGAGUUUUCGUGUGUUACUGUUUACUGACUUGCAGGAGAACUAUGUUAACUGGUGCUUGUUUUCUUCUGAAAUAAACCAUGUGGUAAAAUUAGAAAAUCAGUGAUGUUCAUCUCACUUAAACAUUUACAGUAACACCCUUAGCACUUAAUCUUCGCCAUCUGAAGCUGAAAACUUAGAAACCAAGCAUUCAUAUAUUCAUUAAACACAGACCUCUUCAUAUAUUCAGUCAGUUACUGCAAAAUAUUCCAGUUGACAUUUGGUUACAUUGUGUUAACUGUUCUCAGUGACUCCAACAUUAACAUGUAUAAUUUGCCUCAGGUUCCUAGACAUAUUUCUUUGUAAGGCUCACUGUUACUCAGUUUUGGAUUUUAAAAAAUAAUCUUGAUUUCUGUUCAUGUUUAUUGCUAAAGCAGAUACAGUAUUCAGCAAGGAUUUUCCCGACAGAUGGAUUGUAUUAUCUUAUGCAACAUAAACAUGCGAUCAUACCAGAAAGUUUUGUUCUUACAUUAAGUAGUCUGUAUUUCCAGUAUGCUCUUAAAUCUUAAGUCUAAAUGCUACACUGUGCAGGGCAAGUGGAAAAUGUAACAUAGUACUGUUUUGGCUAGAUUUCAGCAAUGAAUAGCUUGAAGAAAUCUUAUGUCUAGGUACUCUUUAGACUAAGGUACAAAGGAGCCAUGUUAAUGUUGGGUACUACCGUGCUUUAAAAUGUUACUCAAUUAAUAUUAAUUUUUGUGGCAUAGAUAAUUUUUUUCUAUGGCAUAACUUGGUCUCAACAGUGGUCCUGCAUAAGAUGAAAUGGCAGUGUCAAAUGAUCAGUUUUAUUUUAUAUCUUUUCCCAUUUAUUAUUAGAGCUUAUAGCUUUACUAUGAUUAUCUUCUGAUGUCGUAAAUAAUAGCUGGUAUUCUCCAGGUGUCCCAGUAUGUUUAUCAAGGUGGAAACAUUUUUAGGUCAAAAAAACUUAAUCUGUUUUAAAUGUUGCAUUUAACCAUUUAUAACCUUAACCUAGGGAUGGAAGUUACAAGAGUAAAUACAUCAUGAACCAGGUAACAUCUCUGUGAAGUCAAUCAAUCUUUCUGUAGAGUAAGUCAUAGCUUAUCUCAUAUCAUGAUUAUAAGAGUAGAUAUAACAUAAAUUUCCACCAAGUUUUGUGAAGCUGUUGACAAAACAUAGCUAUGUUUCUCUUAACAGUGUGGUUUGCUCAGGUAACUUUUCUGUAGAUUUCAUUGGUAAACAAUUUUUUGUGAUUUAUUCCUGGGUUGGGUUGUUGGUUUGGUUUUUGUUUUUGGUUUUUUUAUGUUAAACUGAAAUUAUUUUAAGAGUAAGAAAACAAACUGAUAGAUGAAACAAGACCAGUCUCAAACUGAAAUUAUCCUCCUCAUGACCUUUGUUCAUGAAUUCUUAACACAUUCUAGAUUUUCAAAGCAACUGUUUUCCCUGACCUGUGAGAAAUAGGGAUAUAAACCUGUAACCUCUGUCUGCACCCAUUCUCUGUGUUAAAAUAUAUCUUACUUCAGUAGUCAAACAUCAGUAGCUGCAACUGUGCAAGACAGGUCUUGCACAUGAUCUAGCAAUGAUUUGUUUAACAUUUUUGUGGAUUUGGAAAAAUAAUCUAUUUUCUAUUUAUACAAACUGUCAUUCUUGUUGGAUGCAAAAAUAUUUCCUUACAUAUUAAAGAUGCAAGAACUGAACCGUCCUUGAAAAACCAUUGGAAAAAUGUGAUCCUACUCUACAACAAAAAAAAAAAUCAAUCAAGUGAAGUUUCUUUUGCUUGAAGAACUGUUACCAACCAGUAAUAAUUCUGAUUACCCACUCGUAAGUAUAAAUAGCUACAAUAGCUGAUAGCCUUUGAAUUCAAUGAUAAUGAAAACCAGAAAGUGUUCUACCAUAUAUAGGGCAAUUUUCCCAAAGAAAGGAAAGGAGGAGACACCAAUCAGCCUCUGAUUCCAAACACACAGUACAUGAACAGUAAUUAAACAUGGCAAACUUAAGAAGAGAACAUCAGAAAAUCUUACAGGAAAUCUUUUUACUUUUUGAAAACAUUUCUUAACCUUCUUCCCUCUGCAAUAAGCAGUUAUUGUAGUGUACGAAAAUCAGGCCCAUUUGGAAACUUUCCAAUAGGUUGGUAUUGUCAAUGGUAUAAUUUACAUCUUAGAUGAAAUGCACAAAAAUGGAUCUAUUUAUAAAGCAGUAUCAGUCGUGUAUCAGCAUACAGUAAAUAUAACCUGAGCAACAAUAGAUAUGGGGAAAUUUUUUAUCUAUAGUUAAGGCAAACAAGUUAGUGUAACUUGUAAUUUGUUUUAGAAUGGAAUUUACAGUUAUUUACUCAAAAGUCUGUGAUAACAGAGAUCUUCACAGAAGUUUGUGAAAGUAAUGUGGGAUUACAUUUCCACUCACAACAUAAGGCAAAUAGAAUAGUGGCCUGUAACAUAGGCCCUGUACAGCUAUUGAUGGAUCCUACAACAGCGUAUGUUGUGAAAAGCACUGACUGGGGUAGCUUUGUUAAUCUCAGUAUUUCUCUGAGUUGGCCUGUUCAGGGAGAGCACAGAAGUUGGCUGUUAGGAAGUCUGUAGAGUGUGAGACGUGCUGUUUCUCCAUUUUCAUCCUUCUCUGGAGGACUGUCUCCCUACAGCAGGGAAGUGGGAGAAAGACUUUUCUACUAAUGGUGAGUUUUGUUUUUAAAAUCAAUGUACAAAAAGGCUUUGGGCAAAAUUAGAUGCUGUAAGUCAAAAUAGUUUUUGUGUUUCACUUGCACUGCAGUAAGCAGGAAGUCCAUAUUUGAUCAGGCCCAUAACCUUAAUUCUUGUUCAUUGUAAAUUUUGGUGAGCUGCUCUGGUGACAGAAAAAAAACAGAGCACAGAAAGAUGUGGAGCAAAGAGAUUACGCCCUCAGAAUUAGUUUGUACUUAAGAGGGCAGCAGAUUGGGUUAUUUCCAUAUUGUGACUGUAGAUAUUGUCUCUUAGAAUUUCUUUCCUGUUGCACUCAGUGGGUUCCAGAUAUUUUCUUUGUAACUGGAGGGCACUGCUUCAAAAAUCACAGUAUCACAGAAAAGCUGAGUUUGGAGAGGUGACUCUGGAGGUUACCUUGCCCAACCCCACCAGUUCUCCAAAAGUUUCCUUCCCUCCCAACAGAAAGAACCCUUGGAAAGGUACCAAAUAAAAGCAUUUGUUAAUUUGGUGACAGAGAGGCUUUUUAUUCAAAAGAGAGUUGAAAUUACACAGCCGUUUUCUGGAAGCUUCCCUUCUGUCUUCGUUCUUACCAUGUGAAGAAAUGAGGCUUUACAAUUAAAGAGGGAAGAGGCAUAACUACUUGUGACUGUUCUGUUGGAUUUAAGCUGAUUCCUACACAUCUGGGAGAAAGCAGAAAGGAUGAACAAUCUUUUCAUAAGGUUUCCCACUUCUGCUGAGGCACAUUGAGGAAAAUCCCUGUAACCACAGACCACCUGGACACAGCCCCUGCCCUGCCCAGGUCUGGAGGCAGCAGGAACAGCCUGGACAGAAAAAGCAAGGGUAGGACUUGUGAGAUUAAAGAGCUGUGUCUACCCUAGAGUAAAUUCAGUGGCUGCAAAGGAUUUGGUGUUUUUGAGUGCCUGAGAGGAAUAUGGUCUCCUUCUUGGGGUUGCUGUGUGUCAGUGAGGAAAUGGAGGGAAAAUGUGGGUCUUAUGUGGAAGAAGUCACAUGGGACAUAUCCUGGGAGACAAGGAAGGAGAAAAAGUAAGAUGAGGAAAUAGAAAAUAGAGAAUUAAACAUUGUAACAAAACAGGUGUCCUGUACAAAGAGCUUUCCCACUGAGCUUCUCCUCAGCACCUGUAACAGGCCUGGUUUCAGAUAGAGUGGAGGGAGGGCCCAGGUGGGGAUCCUGGAGAGACGCAGGCAGGAGUUGGUGUGAGUCUGACUUUUGUCUUUGUUCAUUUGCCUGUUUUAGUAUUGAGCCUGAUUUCCUAAAGCUUUUACAUUAGAAAAAAGGAGGUGUUCAUAAACCUGUACAGCAUUUUUGCCUUGGAAGGACGCUUCCCAGGGUUUUAAUAGCAGCAAGUCUGUCACAUACAGGUUAUUUUGUACAAAGGGAAGAGAAAGGACACUGAACUUCCCAGUCUGUUUGGCUGUCCCUCCAGGGUGACCCUGAUGAACCACAUCUUCUACUGUCCAUUUGAUAUCAAACUCAGGAUACAAGUGAGUAGGCAAAUGAACUGGAAGUUGAGUCCUGGCAUGCAACUCAUGAAAGGCACAGAGACGGGAAAACGUCGAGGGGAGGAAAAGGGGGUGGUGGAAACCAACAGUUUGGUUUCACCUGGAGUUCAGUCCUGUCAAAACACAGGAAUAAAACAGCAUGAUGCUUCUCAGGCUUAGGUUAAAAGGCAAAAAACCCCCAACCAAAUAACAAAAAAAAGCCCACCCCACCCAGUAAUUUGUAAAACAUCAGAAAUUAUGGGAUCAUGAGGUAAUCUCAAGUAAUCCCUUUUGGUAAAAUGUCUGGUCUGCUUUUUUUUUACUAUGCUUUUUAUGAUUAAUUUUCCUUGUAAAGUAGUACUGUUGAUACCAGUUACACACAUGCUCUCUGAGUAUUAACAUGAAAAUGUAAGUUCAUUUCAGGAACUGCUGGAGGGUGGAUGUUAUUCACAUUUUAUAAUCCUUGUUUAUGUUAUGCCUUGUCUAUUAAGUAAAAUAGUUUAAGUGCACUAAGUGAAAUGGGAGAUUUAUAUUUUAAGGUGGGGUUAUGUUUAGAGAAAUAGUUGUUAUCUACAUCACUGAGAAAUGCACAGUGCAUUUUCUUUGGGCUUAAAGCCAGACGAGACAUUCAUAAUAAGUUAUUCUGACUCCCUAACAAAGGCUCUUGAAUUCAGUUACCUGCCUGAAUUAUUGAAGGAUCUCAGGACACUUGAGGAGGAAGGUCUGCAGUCACUUUCUCACAUUGUUACUGCAGUUUAACAUCCAGUGUAUUUUACUCUCAAGCUUGAAGCUUAAAUGUAACGUGAAGGUUUGUCUGAUUUGGUUGCCAUUAUUUGACAUCCUUCGCUUGAAAUUAUGAUUCUACCCAAAUUUGCUAAAAAUUCACCUUAGGCCUAACCACUUCAUUUUGUGAAACAGAUAUCAAGACUAAAUCUAGUUUUGUGUGUUUAUUACAAGUGUUAUUGUCCUCCUUGACUAGUUUUGGUGUGAAAAUAUUUUCAGUGCUACUUCUCUACUUACACCAAUCUGAUAAUUUUGAAAAUUAAAUAUAAAUUUGAGAGGAAAAUCAAUUAGUUGCAUAUUAAAUUAUAUAUGUUAUAUAAUACUUUAAUAAAAAAAUCAUCAUCGUGUAAUAUAGUGAGACACACUUGGAAAAAGUACUACUUUAUGUCUGACUUUUUCUCCUUUAUUAGCAUGCCUGGGUUUAGCAUUUGCUGGAAAGGGAAAUGCAUGGCAAACUUUUGUAUUCUGACUGAUUCAAAAUUUGAUACACAAUAUAGUACAGCAGUUUAUUCUUAAAUAUGAAUUUAUUAUUAAACAUAAUAUCAUUAUGCAUAUUAAAAUCACUAAUAAAUACUUUGCUAUUUACAUCAAUUUUUAUAUUAAUCCAUGCUGUGGUUUUAGGGUGUUAAAUUAUUGCAUUUAUAAAUCGUUUAUUCAAGGAAGAAUUAUUUAUCAAAAUAUAAUUGUGGAAAAAAUAAUCUUUUUGAGAUUGGUUUCUCACAAAUCCUAUGACAGCAAACUAGAGGAAUAUAAUUGUCCUUCUCUUUCAUUUCUCAACAGCUUUGAGACUGUAGUUUGUUAUUUUACCUUGCAGCAUUUUUCUAGUGUAUACACCAGAUAUUUCCUCAGCACGCUGCCUGGAGAAGGAAGUGGGAAUUUAAAAAUGAAACCUUCCAUUUUACAAAAUUGAUAUAGACCACCCAGUAAAGUCAGAGCACUGGAUAUGGAUGAUUGGAGUAAUACUUGACUGGAAUUUCCCCUGCUUCUUCCUAUAAUGUUUUUAGUGACACUGAAGAGACUUGGGACUUGAAGGGUUUAAAUGCUGCAAAUAAGUGAUUCAGUCUGGGGGUCAACAAGUACCCAAAGAUGCUGCAGUCAGAUGGUGCUGAGAUCCCUCCUUCUUCACUAAGAUUCCUACAAUCCAUAUUUCAGUGUCAAGCAGAAGUGAAGACAGUCACUUGUGAGGAAUAUGGAAGCUGAGCAGUAAGUGGAGGUUUGAAAAAGAGAAAAUGCCAUCUUUCACCUUCGCAUUUUUAGGAAGAAAACGUCACGUUAAUGUGAGUAGUUAUCAAGUAAGGUAACGUUUUGUGUGGUUAUGUAGGUUGUCAAAAUUCUUUAUUAGCCUCCCUGUAGAACCACUGGGCACUUCAGAGGGAGAGAAGCAGGAGCACUCGGCCUGAUGGUUUCUAUUUGUCAUGCAGCACAUAUUGUGUUUCCAUCCGUGAGGGGUUUUUGUCCCUUACCUGCCCAUGGAUUGCGAGAUGUGAUAGAACAGCUGCAGGACACCAUCUAGUGGUGCCGAGCCCGAGCUAAUUACAGACUUUAUUUUACCUUUCCUUGUCUCUUUUUAAUUCACAUUUCUUCUCACUGCUGACACCACAAGGGGAAAUUCUGGCCCAGUCAGAAUAUCCAGAGUCUUCACACACUGAACAAUGAAAGAUAAUAUCGAACAUGCCUUAAAUGAUAGAGCCAUCACACUCUGCCUUUUUCCAUAAAGGUGCAGGUGCUUGGCAAUUUUGGGGUUUGGAUUAUGAGUGUGAAUGGGUUUGAGCUAUGAACAUACAUAUUGUGGGAAAAUUCCUUACAGUAUAUAGACUUCUGAAACAAAUACGAAGUAUCUAAAAGUAGGAAAAAGUGUAUCUAAAGGUUAUUUAGAUGUGCAAUAAUCAUACAUACAGUGUUUGCUACGAGUACCAAGCCAUAGCAAAAGAAAGUCUUCGUGAGGCGAGUAAUAUAAAAAAAGCAUUCUAGGCCUGAUUAAUCUCUCAUAUUGGUCAAAACACAAAGAUUUUGUGAAAUAGAAUUCAUUCAGAUUUGGUAUGACUAGGAAGGGAACCUAAAAAAACCCUUGAAGAAAAUUUAUUAGACAAAAGUUAGCCACUUUCUUGUCAGAGUAUUAUUUCUAUAGUUAUCAAAAAUAGGAAACUUUGGACUAUAGUGGGGUUAGGAGGAUUAACAACGUUGUGUUCAAAGUCCUGAUAAAGUAUUCCUCACAAUCCUUGGUAUCAAUGUCAAAAUAUUAUUCCCAUUGUGAUAUAGUUUUGCAACAUCCCGAACAUGUACACUCAGCACCAAAACAUUGUUCAAGCCACAGAAUUUUGCAGUGACAUCUACGUAACAUGUAAAUGAGGAUUUCAUUAUCCCCUUUCAUUCCUCAGCAAGAUCAGGACCAGAGGCAAGACACUUGGAGGAACAGUUAGGUCUGAAAAGCCUACUGAUGUAAGUAACCAAGUAAAAAAGAUUUCUGGGAAUGUAACCUUCAAAGGAGAGUUGAUGUGAAGAAAGUUAGAGCAGGACAAAGAAAACAGAUGGCAGGAAAGAGAUUAGUAAAGAAAAGGAGGUAAGAGGCGACUGCUACUCUGUGUCACAGUGGAAGGUAGAUAAUUUGGGAUAUUAGCCUAAAUGGAAGUUGUGCAGCACUUCAGUGGUGUGGGCAAAGAGCUUGCAUUUGAAACACUGAAGAACAGGAAAUUGCCAAAGGGUUUUAGAAAUCUGAGAGAGUGGUUUGGCCAGAAUAAUUACGUUAUUAACUGACUGAAGACUUUAAAGUGGCAUUUUAAGGACGGGGAAUAGGAGAAGGUUACAAUAAUUGAGACAAAAUGAUAACCUUAGCAUGGUAUUUUUGCUGAUAGCUUAGGAACAAAAAUAAAUGCACCCUGUAUGCAUUGAUUUUUAAAUUUCUCUGUAAUUUUUAUACUUGAGAUUGCAUGGAUUUUGUUGUCAUCUUCCAAACCUUGACAAAUUACUUCAGUUUUGGUAUAGCACUUUUGUAAUUGUUCUACUGGGCUCAGAAAAAGUCUAAUUACAAACAAAAAUCAACUCCU